AGUCACUGACAUUAGAUACCCCGGUAGUCCAGGGUGUAAACGCUACAGACUUGGUGUUGGGGGCCCUUUGGGGGCAUUCAGUGCCGGAGAGAAGUUGUUAAGUCUGCUACUUGGGGAGUACGUCCGCAAGGAUGAAACUUAAAGGAAUUGGCGGGGGAGCACCGCAACGGGAGGAGCGUGCGGUUUAAUUGGAUUCAACACCGUAAACUCACCAGGGAAGACUGUUACAUGAAGGCCGAGAUGAAGACUCUGCUAGAUUUUCAG
This 264-nucleotide ribosomal RNA is filed under the name uncultured archaeon. RNAcentral describes it as "partial 16S ribosomal RNA". It matches the Rfam family "Archaeal small subunit ribosomal RNA", at positions 718 to 982 of the family's 1478-position model. The record is from RNAcentral.